RNAcentral lists this ribosomal RNA (478 nucleotides) under uncultured bacterium. Its description in RNAcentral is "partial 16S ribosomal RNA". It matches the Rfam family "Bacterial small subunit ribosomal RNA", at positions 28 to 506 of the family's 1533-position model. The record is from RNAcentral.
GAUGAACGCUGGCGGCGUGCUUAACACAUGCAAGUCGAACGAAGCACCUUGAUUUGAUUCUUCGGAUGAAGAUCUUGGUGACUGAGUGGCGGACGGGUGAGUAACGCGUGGGUAACCUGCCUCGUACAGGGGGAUAACAGUUAGAAAUGACUGCUAAUACCGCAUAAGACCACAGCACCGCAUGGUGCAGGGGUAAAAACUCCGGUGGUAUGAGAUGGACCCGCGUCUGAUUAGGUAGUUGGUGGGGUAACGGCCUACCAAGCCGACGAUCAGUAGCCGACCUGAGAGGGUGACCGGCCACAUUGGGACUGAGACACGGCCCAAACUCCUACGGGAGGCAGCAGUGGGGAAUAUUGCACAAUGGGGGAAACCCUGAUGCAGCGACGCCGCGUGAGCGAUGAAGUAUUUCGGUAUGUAAAGCUCUAUCAGCAGGGAAGAAAAUGACGGUACCUGACUAAGAAGCACCGGCUAAAUACGU